Oncorhynchus tshawytscha (Chinook salmon) is the source of this 566-nucleotide long non-coding RNA. Lineage: Eukaryota; Metazoa; Chordata; Actinopteri; Salmoniformes; Salmonidae. The record is from Ensembl.
GUGAAAUCCUGAUAUGAUAUGUACCAUUAACUAAACGCCCAAAUCCCCAUGCAGCAGCAGGAUGGCUCCCUGCUACAGACAGACACAGGGAGGAGAGAGAGAGAGAGAGAGAGAGAUACAGAGAGAGAGAGAGAGAGAGAUACAGAGAGAGAGAGAGAGGGUGAGAGAGAGAGAGGGGGAGAGAGAGACAGAGAGAAAGAGGGGAGAGAGAGAGAGAGAGAGAGAGAGCGAGAGAGGGAGAAAGAGGGUGAGAGAGAGAGGGCUAGAGAGAGACAGAGAGAAAGAGGGUGAGAGGGAAGGGUGAGAAGACUGCAGACAGAGAGAAAGAGGGUGAGAGGGAAGGGUGAGAAGACUGCAGACAGAGAUGAAGGGGGUGAGAGGGAAGGGUGAGAAGACUGCAGACAGAGAUGAAGGGGGUGAGAGGGAAGGGUGAGAAGACUGCAGACAGAGAUGAAGGGGGUGAGAGGGGAGGGUGAGAAGACUGCAGACAGAGAUGAAGGGGGUGAGAGGGAAGGGUGAGAAGACUGCAGACAGAGAUGAAGGGGGUGAGAGGGAAGGGUGAGAAG